Passer domesticus (house sparrow) is the source of this 719-nucleotide long non-coding RNA. RefSeq lists it as uncharacterized. Lineage: Eukaryota; Metazoa; Chordata; Aves; Passeriformes; Passeridae. The record is from RefSeq and is a predicted model, not a curated record. The transcript is spliced from 4 exons.
AACCCCCAUUCCCAGUCCCCCCUGCACCACCAGAGAGGAGAACAUGGAGAAGCUGAAAGAUUGCUAGAGCAUCUUGCUGAAUACCUGGCAGUCUACCAAGGUCAACCCACCUGGGUUACUGGUCAAGAUCAAUCCACCACAUUUACAAAAGAAAGGAUCACUUGAACUUGCCACAGCAGUGUGGUUCAAAUAGUAUUAUCACACAUCUGCUCUCAUCCUGAAAAUAUUGCAAAGAGAGGCAAGUAGGACUGUAAACAACAAUACAGGUAUGUAUGUAUUUCACUCAAAGAAUCUAAAUUAGCAGACACUACCUGGACUGGUUCUGAUGUGUCUUCAACGUAUUCCCAGCCUAGCAUGUCAAACACGUUGCUAUGGUGAGCUGCUUUAUUAUGACUUUUUUUGUUUUUCUUAAUGAAAAGAAUGUUUUUUUUAUUGCAAAUAACAGAAAAGAAAAAAAUCUCUGAAGUGCAACCUGCAAUGGCAGAUAUACAACACCUAUAUUAGUUUAUUAUUGUUGUAUAUCAUCACAGUUUUUUACAUAUUUAUGUAUGAUUGUUUGUGUGUAAUUUCUUCUUUGGGAAGAAUAGGUUAUGUAAGCUGAGAAAUAUUUCAGAUAAAUCCUUAUGCCUCACAAGUAUAUAACAAGCAUUCUUGCACAAUUAUUUUGAUAAUAAAAUAUUGUGCCAAAUUACAUUCUGGAAACAGCUUCUUUUAUUUUU